AAAACUUUCAACAACGGAUCUCUUGGUUCUGGCAUCGAUGAAGAACGCAGCGAAAUGCGAUAAGUAGUGUGAAUUGCAGAAUUCAGUGAAUCAUCGAAUCUUUGAACGCACAUUGCGCCCUCUGGUAUUCCGGAGGGCAUGCCUGUUCGAGCGUCAUU
RNAcentral lists this ribosomal RNA (158 nucleotides) under Diaporthe eres. RNAcentral's name for it is "5.8S ribosomal RNA". It matches the Rfam family "5.8S ribosomal RNA". From Rfam's summary of the family: 5.8S ribosomal RNA (5.8S rRNA) is a component of the large subunit of the eukaryotic ribosome. It is transcribed by RNA polymerase I as part of the 45S precursor that also contains 18S and 28S rRNA. Functionally, it is thought that 5.8S rRNA may be involved in ribosome translocation. Lineage: Eukaryota; Fungi; Ascomycota; Sordariomycetes; Diaporthales; Diaporthaceae. The record is from RNAcentral.